Molecule: long non-coding RNA, 684 nt
Organism: Mesocricetus auratus (golden hamster)
Lineage: Eukaryota; Metazoa; Chordata; Mammalia; Rodentia; Cricetidae
Exons: 3
Source: RefSeq, a predicted model, not a curated record
GCCCGGGGCUCCCACUCCUACCUGGGGGAACCUCCUCCCGGGCUCUGGCCUCUGGGAUUCGCCAUCCCAGGCCUGGUAACUGUCUGAAGGUCCUCAAAGCUCUUGGGGAGAGUGAGGGCUUGCCCUGCAGUUUUCUCUUCCGUGAGGGAGAAUGCCAGCCGAGUAAGCAUGGGCUCUCCUGCCUCUGGGCUCCAGGAGUCUGGAGCCGUGGAGAUGGGCACACUGGCCGGUGAAGAGGCCUGACUCUCAUGACCCUGUCUGGCCUGGCGUUGAGGUUAAUCCACAGCUCAAUUCGAUUCCCACCAAAGCCUGCGAGUCCCCGGUUCACCAGAUCUUUCCACUAAGGAUUCACCCACUUAAAAAAAAAUCCUCGAAGGGGCCAGGCCUGCCGCACUGUCAGCUCAGGAUGUGGACAUCUUACACCGAGACCCACCCCCUCCCGCACAACCAGCCUUCCCCCCCAAUCCCAGUAGCAUCGCAGCGCACAGGGGGCCCGGGAAGCGCAGCCACAGAGAAAGCGCCUUAAUAAAGAGUCGUGUCAAGUGAUUGGCUGUGACCUCUGCCCUCCUAGCCUCGCCCGGGGCUCCAGCUUAACCCUUCGUUGUCCGUCCAGUGCUUGGGGAGGAACGAAUGAGUUGCCUUGUGCUCACUCACUUCAGGCGUCCCCAGGCAUUACUCGAACCC